CUGACCUCAAAUCAAGUAGGACUACCCGCUGAACUUAAGCAUAU
RNAcentral lists this ribosomal RNA (44 nucleotides) under Steccherinum ochraceum. RNAcentral's name for it is "partial 28S ribosomal RNA". The record is from RNAcentral. Lineage: Eukaryota; Fungi; Basidiomycota; Agaricomycetes; Polyporales; Steccherinaceae.